This 348-nucleotide ribosomal RNA is filed under the name Triticum aestivum (bread wheat). RNAcentral's name for it is "partial small subunit ribosomal RNA". The record is from RNAcentral. Lineage: Eukaryota; Viridiplantae; Streptophyta; Magnoliopsida; Poales; Poaceae.
AUGAAGUGGCUGCCGGAGAAGUUGCGCGUGGCGGCCCGCAGCUCGGCGACGGUGAACGCGUGCAUCCCCGACGAGGCCAGCGUGCGGGACAGGUCGUCGAAGGAGAGCGUCCGCAGCCGCGCCGUCGCGCUCGGCGCCCGCCGCAUCGACUUCUUCUUGCCCUUCCUGGUGGGCGGCCUCGACGGCGCCGUGGCCUUGGCCGUGGCCGUGGUCGCCUCGUCGCCGUCCGCCACCGCCGCCGGGUCCGUGGCGCCGCCGCGCGGGUGGAAGCAGCCCAUCAGGAACGCCCUCAUGGUGCCGAUGGAGGUCGAGUGGUUCCUUCCUUGGCGAUCGAGUGAAACGAACUGA